AGUGAACGCUGGCGGUAGGCCUAACACAUGCAAGUCGAACGGCAGCACAGGAGAGCUUGCUCUCUGGGUGGCGAGUGGCGGACGGGUGAGGAAUACAUCGGAAUCUACUCUGUCGUGGGGGAUAACGUAGGGAAACUUACGCUAAUACCGCAUACGACCUACGGGUGAAAUCAGGGGAUCUUCGGACCUUGCGCGAUUGAAUGAGCCGGUGUCGGAUUAGCUAGUUGGCGGGGUAAAGGCCCACCAAGGCGACGAUCCGUAGCUGGUCUGAGAGGAUGAUCAGCCACACUGGAACUGAGACACGGUCCAGACUCCUACGGGAGGCAGCAGUGGGGAAUAUUGGACAAUGGGCGCAAGCCUGAUCCAGCCAUACCGCGUGGGUGAAGAAGGCCUUCGGGUUGUAAAGCCCUUUUGUUGGGAAAGAAAUCCAGCUGGCUAAUACCCGGUUGGGAUGACGGUACCCAAAGAAUAAGCACCGGCUAACUUCGUGCCAGCAGCCGCCGUAA
This 506-nucleotide ribosomal RNA is filed under the name uncultured bacterium. RNAcentral's name for it is "partial 16S ribosomal RNA". It matches the Rfam family "Bacterial small subunit ribosomal RNA", at positions 29 to 523 of the family's 1533-position model. The record is from RNAcentral.